UGGGUUUCAAUUUCUCGUUUAACCAAAUAGCCAAAUAUCCUCUUGAAUUUUAAUCCAUGUUAUUCGAAUUUUUUAAGGAUCGUAUUUUAAAUUUCUUUAAAGUUUUCAAUUUUCGGCAUUAAGACAUUAACUAAUCAACUUGGUACCAAUUUUUUGGGCGUUACGAGGGUGCUAAUCCUUCCUUGUACGUAACUAACUCCCGAACCCAUUUUUCUGAAUUUCGUGGACCAAAACCGUUUUUUAAUAAAAUCAAAUCGUUUAUUAAAAACAACCACUUUUCGAGGUGAUCCAAUCACACCUCAUUAAAAAGGAUUGGUGGCGACUCCCGUUUUCAUUUUUCAAAAUCCAAAUCGACUCCGUUUUCAUCAAAAAAUGGUGUCAACAAACCUCAAAGAAUCAAAGAAGAGAGAAUAUCAAAGAGAAGAAAGAAAGAAUGAUUUCUUCACUAAGUUCAACAUGAAGAACCUACAACCAUAGUAUUUAUACUAAGUUUUAACAAAGAAGAUGAAUAACAACCUGAACCAACUAACUCAAUAACUUAUUAACAACCUAAUUGUUGCAGCAGUUCCUUAACAUUCAUCGAACCUCCUGGCUGCUGCUAUUGAAGCUUGCGAACAGCUCAACUGUGAACACCUAGACUGCUGCAAAUCAAUCCUUAACACAUUAAAAUAUUUAAAAGUUUCACUUAACCAUAAAUUAAAAUUAAGUAAUAAAAUUCAAUAAAAUUUAAUGUUUAGGAAAACCGAAUCCUAUAAAACUAAAAUGAAAAAGUUACUUUAUACCAAAAAAAUAUGGAAAUGUUUUGUUUAUUGAAUAAAAAAAAACAAAUAUUAAACAAAAUAAAAUAUAAUUAUGAAUUUGGGUAUCCGAUAGAAAAUAAUUCACCUUAUCAUCCUUUAAAACUUUAAAAAUAAACAAAAUAAAACAAAAGAGACUGUCUAUUAUUUAUUCAUUUCUUUCUUCUCUUUUGAUUCAUUAGCUGAGUUAAUAUUCAGUUAUUUGGUUUUAGGUCUUAAAAAAUAUGACACAAAAUCUCGAUGACUUUGACGAUGUCGAGUUUAAAAUUCUUUUAACCAACUUCUAAAAAUAGACAAAAAAAAACAAUAAAUUAAAUUCCAAAAUAAAAAAUAAACAAUAUUUGGGUAGAAAGGUUUUUUUAAUCGCAUAUUUAACUUUAAAACACUAGCGUUUUCCGUUAUUUUUGCGGAAAAAGAAUAUUUUUAAGUUAAAAGUGGUUUUUCACCUGCAUAUAAAAUCCUUGACCCCGAAAUUUAAAAAAUAAAAAAAAGUGCUUCUGUUUUAACUCAGCCAAUGAAUCUAAAGAGAAGAAAGUAAAGAUGUAUGUUUCAAUUUUCAAAGGAAAUUGGCAAAGGCUUUCUUAGUAGAAAUGGAUAUUUA
RNAcentral lists this long non-coding RNA (1398 nucleotides) under Gossypium raimondii (Peruvian cotton). RNAcentral describes it as "long non-coding RNA (GRAI_LNC007187)". The record is from RNAcentral. Lineage: Eukaryota; Viridiplantae; Streptophyta; Magnoliopsida; Malvales; Malvaceae.